GACGAACGCUGGCGGCGUGCUUAACACAUGCAAGUCGAACGGUGACGAGGAGCUUGCUCCUCCGAUCAGUGGCGAACGGGUGAGUAACACGUGAGUAACCUGCCUCGGACUCUGGGAUAACAGUUGGAAACAGCUGCUAAUACCGGAUACGAGACGGAGAGGCAUCUCUACCGUCUGGAAAGUUCUUCGGUCCGGGAUGGACUCGCGGCCUAUCAGCUAGUUGGUGAGGUAACGGCUCACCAAGGCGACGACGGGUAGCCGGCCUGAGAGGGCGACCGGCCACACUGGGACUGAGACACGGCCCAGACUCCUACGGGAGGCAGCAGUGGGGAAUAAUUGGGCACAAUGGGCGAAAGGACCUGAUGCAGCGACGCCG
Molecule: ribosomal RNA, 376 nt
Filed under: uncultured bacterium
Lineage: Bacteria
Description: bacterial SSU rRNA
Rfam family: Bacterial small subunit ribosomal RNA
Source: RNAcentral